RNAcentral lists this ribosomal RNA (253 nucleotides) under uncultured bacterium. RNAcentral's name for it is "partial 16S ribosomal RNA". It matches the Rfam family "Bacterial small subunit ribosomal RNA", at positions 524 to 776 of the family's 1533-position model. The record is from RNAcentral.
UACGGGGGGGGCAAGCGUUGUUCGGAAUUACUGGGCGUAAAGAGCGCGCAGGCGGUCGUUCAAGUCGAGUGUGAAAGCCCCCGGCUCAACUGGGGAGGGUCACUCGAUACUGAUCGACUGGAAGGCAGGAGAGGGAAGCGGAAUUCCCGGUGUAGUGGUGAAAUGCGUAGAUAUCGGGAGGAACACCAGUGGCGAAGGCGGCUUCCUGGCCUGUUCUUGACGCUGAGGCGCGAAAGCUAGGGGAGCAAACGGG